ACAUGGUUUUGAAAUUCUGAGAGACAGAAGAGAAGGCAUCUGUUCUGGAUCAUUACCUCUCCUUGGUGCCAUCAACUGAGCCAUCCUGUUCUUAUCUGCUCUCCUAUUGCGAGUCCCCACAAGUGCCCCUUGUUGCUCACAAGGCCCUUCAGAUCCAUUGGCUCUUGGAUGCUCCUGGCUACAUGAAAAGAGGAUAUGAGGAAAGAAGGCAGACAUUAUUCAUCAGAGUGUGGCCCAUUCAGGAUGGACUCUCUUUUCCACAUGUAGCCUCCAUGUAGGCAGAACAGGCCUCUCUCUACAAGGCGACUCAGUAACAGCUGCUUGGAAAUUGGAAGAGGUCAAGGUAAGCUGCCCACCGACUUCUGGUUCAAAAUGGCAGCUGGCUGUUGGUUCCCCAAGCUGAGCCAUUCAGCUCUUCUCAUUGAAACUAUAGCACAUUAAAAACCAGAAGAUAAUUUAGUAGCAUCUAUACAGUUUGGAGAAGAAAAGGAUCUGACCCAGCAAUGUUACCUCUGAAUU
Leptonychotes weddellii (Weddell seal) is the source of this 519-nucleotide non-coding RNA. The record is from RefSeq and is a predicted model, not a curated record. NCBI's taxonomy places the organism in Eukaryota, Metazoa, Chordata, Mammalia, Carnivora, Phocidae.